GACCGGCCUGGAGCGCCCUCGCCUGGAGCGGCGGCCCAGCCCAACCCGCCCUCACGAACCUCCGCAGCGGACGGCGUCUGGCUUGGGUCUACCCAGGGGCCGCAGGGGCGGUUCUCGGUCGACCCCGCGGGAAACCGGCUAACAAGUUACCCUGCCACAGUUUCAAUGCAUGCUGGCAAAAGACAGAAGACUCCUGAGACGAAACAGAGAACCUCAUGACUCACAGCACAGCAAGCAGCAGGAGCCUCAGGCUAUGAAACAUUUUAAAAAUCACUGGAAUCAUCUGUUCUUUAAAGGGCUUUUCCAAGAUUGGGACUCACCAACAGCACACAGCUCUCACAGGGGCAACUGAUAUGCAGAACUUUUUUCAGUCUGCUUAUGAUAAUUGCCUCAAAUUAACAUCACAAGGCAGUGGAAAUUACAUUCCCCAAAGGCUUCCUACUGCAGGAAGUUAUCUUGCUCCUUACUGCAAAGGUAGUAACGAUUAAAAUCAGGUUAGCUUCUGUCUUGCAAAAGUUUGUCUGUUAAUCCAUUAUUUAUAUUCCUAUAAAAAGGCAUUUCUGUAUCAAAAUGCAUGAAUUUUAACCUGUUGUAAAUGAAAGUUUAAGUUUUUUUCUAUUGUAUCGGACAAGUCUUCUCUCUGCCAGAAACCUUAAAAUUGAAGUUCUUAUAACAGCAGUCGAGUGGCUUUUACCUAACUGCAUGGAUGUUCAGUGUUCAGAUGACAGGAAGUUAUAGUCCUUCGCUGUCCUGUACGCCUCGGGCCAUACCAGGAGUUCAGUCUGAGUGCCUUAUUUUAAGCACAGCAUUGAUGAACUAAAGUGCUCACCAGGAAGCAGAUGGAGGAGAGGAGCCGGAGACCAGUUUGCAUGGGAGCAGAGGACACAGUUGGAGAGGCCCUAUAACUGACUUCAGAUCAUUGAAGGGCUGCUUGGUAGAAGAUGGCUCAUUUGUCGUCGCUUUUCAAGGCAGGCAUAAGGCCAAAGAGAGAGCUACAGAAAGUUAGAUUUCAUCUUUAAAUAGAAGAACUUUAAACAAUUAGAGCUUUCUGAAAAAUACAAAAUACUUCCUUCGGUUGAACUGAGCUCCCAGUCAUCUCACAUCUAUAAUGAAUGCAUGAUUGCACUAGAUACAUAAAUAAAUAUUUUACAAUUAAAAAAAAUAUGGCCACAGCUAUUUGUUUUUAGACUGCCUUGAAAUUGUUUAAGCAAAGCAAACACUUUUGUUAUUAUGACCACUAGUUUUGUAGAAUAGGACCCUGGGGCUAAUCAUCUUCAUCCCACUUGGGUUCCGGAAUCCUGUUGCCUGCCUGGCUGCUGUUGACAUCUACUCACAUAAGGAAUAAUUAAUAGUAAAACAACAAAAAUGCUUUAUAUUUGUGUUCUUCCUCCUUUUUAAAUAUCCAGAUUUCAGCUGUUUCUCUUUCUCUAUAUACUUUUAUGUUUGUGUAUUUCCAAAUUAUAUAUUUAUAUAUUCCAGAGAUGAUUUUAGCUUUCGGGAGGACCCACAUGUCCUUAGUAUUAAUUCUGUUAACCCCAAAGAACAGCGUCCCCAGCACAAAAGGGAGACAGCGAUAGUCAGUGGUGGGAGAGGAUCUCCCUACAGUCCAAGAACAAAGUCCUCUUUUGAGAGUGAAACUCUUAAGAAAGCAGCUGUAGACAAGAUUAGGCGUCUGCGUAAGAAAUUUGCUUAAAGAGAUCGUUUUUCAAUAAAAAGCAAGAAGGGGUGACAUAGGUGUGGUCCCACUUCUGAAUUUAGCUAAACUGAGGUCACGUCUCAUCCUGCCCUGCCCCCUCUCAGGAAAGAAAAUGCAGCAAAGGGACGGUGAUGACCCGCAGGAGCCCUGGGCCAGCUCCUGAGCCCUGAGGGACCCUGCUGCCAGUCACAGAAAAGGAGUGCACUCUGUUAAUGCUCUGGGCUCACAGAGACUGGCCGCGGACUGGCGGGCACCGCGCCAUGCACGUCUCCGCAGACCCCAAAUCACUGUGCGGCAUCUGACCAGGAAGUUCUCAGUUUCCAUACAUGUUUCCCACGCUGUGAAUGGAAUUGCAGAUGCACUUUCUGGUCCCACUCUCACUUUAGCCACAGGCUUAGCAUAGGGGGCUAGUGAAAGGAGAACCCACGUUUUAAGGUGCCAGAUUUUGCAAAUAAAAAUACUGGGUGCCUGGUUAAAUUUGAAUUUCAGAUAAACAAGGAAUACUUUUUUUACUGUAAGCAUAUUCCAAAUGUGUUUUCUCUGGCAACCCUACCACAUUUUCUGAUCAAUAUUUAAUACUUUGAAAGAAAAUGAAUGAAUGAAUGAAUGAAUGGAGAGGAAGAUCAACAGGACAGAAACAGGUCACAGAGAUGCAAUUAGUGAAUAUAUAAUGCUUUUUAAAUUUUGUUAAUUUAAAAUAUUUUCUAUUAAUUUUACUUUUAAAAAUUAUU
Equus caballus (horse) is the source of this 2427-nucleotide non-coding RNA. Lineage: Eukaryota; Metazoa; Chordata; Mammalia; Perissodactyla; Equidae. The record is from RefSeq and is a predicted model, not a curated record.